AUGUAUACACUAGAACCUGGUAGACGCUGGGUUUCUGCACAAUCCCUCACAGAGUCACUUGUUUAUCAACCUGAUAAAGAGCUGACUGUGGAUAUUGGAGACUCGGCUACUCUACGCUGUUGUUUUUCUGAAAAGGAAUUCGGGAUGAUGGCCUUGUUUAAGCAAUCAGCAAGAAAACAACCUCGACUUGUCAUCAAAUUGUUUCAAACAUCUCGAGAAACGUUUUAUAAUGCAAUCCAAGAGUCACGUGUUCGAAUUGAACGAUCAACAAACUGCUUCAAUCUGACCAUUUCUAGCACCAUUCAGUCUGAUGAGUCCAUGUACUACUGUGCACUACUGAUUUCACACGACCCUACGUUUGGAGAUGGAACGUAUUUAAAAAUAAACGGAACAUCUAAACCACCUCUGUGUGAUAAUUCAGUGAUGCCUGAAGCAACACCACAUGGAAACACAGCUAUCAUGAGCAUACAGGAGAAAACAGUGCUUAGUUUGGGGUCGGCUUUGUGUUUGUGCGCCUUCUGAUUUUCUGUCUGACUUAUUUCCUUCGGAGGAGAA
Non-coding RNA from Silurus meridionalis, 555 nucleotides. The record is from the annotation of a RefSeq genome assembly. Lineage: Eukaryota; Metazoa; Chordata; Actinopteri; Siluriformes; Siluridae.